CCAUUCUCUCCUCCAACAGCACCAAAUUAAAACCCUAAUGAUAUUAAAACUCCCACCCCCACCACACCCCUACCCCGCCGCCGACGCUCCAUCCCCACCACACCCCUCCCCGCCACUGAUGCCCCAUCCCCACCACUGUCCUACCUCCGUCGCGCCCUUGCUGUCCGCCCCCAGUACUAAAGUGCCCCAAGGGAUUGGGAUUAUAAAAGGUUUAGAGAAGUUGCUGAUAAAUGUGGGGCUCUUUUGCUUUGUGAUAUGGCUCAUAAUAGUGGACUUGUUGCAGCUCAGGUAAAAUUUUGAUGUAUCUCUGUUAUGAAGAUUGUAUUUUUAUUGUCAUUUGUUUAAUCUGCAUGGUGAUUCUGAAUUGGUUUAGAGGCUAGAUCUGCACUGAAAUUGGUGUUUCUUUGAUGCCAUUUUUAUUCUUAUAGUGAUCCUAAUAGUUUUGUUUCCAAGCUAAUUUUUGUUGCAUUGUGAUAUGUGCACAUCUUUACACAAUUAGUCGGCCGGAUUCACUGUUUACUUUUCCUAGCCGGUAUUCAUAGAUUUUACACUACCCGGUUAUACACAUAUUAUACGUGGAUUAUACAUAUAUUAUACAUCUAUAGGCUAGUUUUAGUUAAGUGUGUGGAUGGCUAUUUAGGUUAAUUCUUCUUUUUGUUUGCAUGCUAAUUUAUAGUAAUUUUGGAAAGAAUAGAUGUUGUGGUACUCUGUAUCUAUUGGUUUUAACUCUUGGAUCAGCCUGUCAACUCUGAUGAUACAUAUUUGUUUUAUCGCGAGGUUUAUAUUUGAUAUUGGUUUCUACUGAAUGGUCAAGCAAAUUAACACAAUUUGGAUGUCCUGGCGAUCUGGUUUUAUGCUUUGUGAUCCAUGAGUUAUGUUGAAAAAUUGGUAUUAGUUGAACUUGUAGGUCUUGUCAAGUUUCUUCUGAUUACAUGAUUAUGAUGAGGCUUAAUGGGGAAUUACUCUUUACAUAAUUUAUACACUAGAGUCUGAUUUCUAAUGAUUUGCAUUUGUUUUAUACGCUGCGAUUUGAGUUGUGACUUUGGUAUUUCAAGACUGUCUUUGUUAGUGUCUUCACUAGAUCUACUCUUAGGCCUUCAAGCUGCCAUAGAAGAAAGGCUAUUUUUUGGUAGAUCUAAGCAUUUUAGAAGUUAAUGAAAUGCUUUGUCCUUGAGAUGCGCGAUGUUCCUUUUUCCCCCUAAAUGUUACACUAUUGGUCCUUAAGUACAUUUUUUUUAAAAAUCCUACAAGCUGUGUUUGAAGAGCUCAAUUUAGAUUAUGGUUGUUCAUCUUUAAUCUAAUAGAUGCAUGGAUUAAAGAAGCAGGGAUGUAUCAUGACAGUACUUUGUCCUUCAGAUGGAGCCUCAUUUUUAAAAGAUUUCUCCUUUUCUGGUGAAUGGUGCAAUGUAAGUUUACUAUGCAUUGUUUGAUUAAAUUAGAACCAAGCAGAUUAGACCAUGUGAAAUGUAACCGAUGUCUACUGUCUACAUUCCAAGGUUGUUGUUUUCCUUGUUAUUAAAUUCCAGAAUUCUAUCAGUUAAUCAUUAGUACUGUUAACUGCUACAUGCACAUUUUAUUUACGCUAUUACUAAGUUGAAUCUUGGUAUGAAUAUCACACUCCAUAAUGGCAAAGACACCUUCUCGUAUGUUUUUAAGACUUCUCAAAAAACCAUUUAGUUUCUGAAACUUGGCAAUUAGAAUAUCACUCAGUUCUUAUUGCUCCAGAGUCCAGCCCGUGUACAAUAUUCUACCUUCAAAAUUAAUAGCGUGAAGUGAUUUCAUUUUCCUUUCUCUGUUGUUCACCUUUGUUCUGGAAUGUUUUUCUUCUGUUGUUUCAUGCAUUAGCCACUGAGAUUAUGUGGAAUUUAACAUUCUGCUUAUUUUUAGGUACUUUGUGUAGUUGGAGAUGUUUUUUUUUUUUUGCAUGACACAAAUGGGCUGUCCCUUUUGAGAAAGCAUUUAUGAUUGUAGAAGUACUUUGAUGAAUUGGACGUGUUGAUGAGUUGCAUUGUUGAUUUGGUUGAUGAGUGUGACUGGCUGAUGGGCUGCUGUAAAAGAGGGUAAAAAAUCCACCAAUGUGCCCUGCCCAAGAUCCUGAUAUAGCCUGGUAUACAAAGAUUGAGACUUGCUUAACUCCUUACCUGAAGUUUCAAGUGAAGAAGAGGUGGCUGGUGGACAAUUGAAAAAGUGGCCUAAAAGAUUACAAGUGAUACCACCGAGGAUAAGCAGGGGUACUGUAACUACAAUUGAUAAGUGUUUGAAUGUAGUUUUAAUUCGAAUUAUAAGUACUUUGAAGGUGAAUUUAAUUGUAGAAUGUAGUUUAUGGUUGUUUAAGUGUUUCAAUGUAGUUGUAAUUUGAAUUAGAAGUACUUUAAAUUGGAAUUUGAGGUUGAAUUUGAUUGUAGAAUGUUGUAGUUUAUGAUUGUAGAAGUACUUUGAUGAAUUGGAUGUGUUGAUGAA
Lycium barbarum (goji berry) is the source of this 2460-nucleotide RNA transcript. It is a transcript of the gene named serine hydroxymethyltransferase 1, mitochondrial-like, with no coding region annotated. The transcript is spliced from 4 exons. The record is from RefSeq and is a predicted model, not a curated record. Lineage: Eukaryota; Viridiplantae; Streptophyta; Magnoliopsida; Solanales; Solanaceae.